RNAcentral lists this ribosomal RNA (482 nucleotides) under uncultured bacterium. RNAcentral describes it as "partial 16S ribosomal RNA". It matches the Rfam family "Bacterial small subunit ribosomal RNA", at positions 30 to 507 of the family's 1533-position model. The record is from RNAcentral.
AUUGAACGCUGGCGGCAUGCCUUACACAUGCAAGUCGAACGGUAACGGGCCUUCGGGUGCCGACGAGUGGCGAACGGGUGAGUAAUACAUCGGAACGUGCCCGAUCGUGGGGGAUAACGAGGCGAAAGCUUUGCUAAUACCGCAUACGAUCUACGGAUGAAAGCAGGGGACCGCAAGGCCUUGCGCGGACGGAGCGGCCGAUGGCAGAUUAGGUAGUUGGUGGGAUAAAAGCUUACCAAGCCGACGAUCUGUAGCUGGUCUGAGAGGAUGAUCAGCCACACUGGGACUGAGACACGGCCCAGACUCCUACGGGAGGCAGCAGUGGGGAAUUUUGGACAAUGGGCGCAAGCCUGAUCCAGCCAUGCCGCGUGCAGGAUGAAGGCCUUCGGGUUGUAAACUGCUUUUGUACGGAACGAAAAGCAGCAGGUUAAUACCCCGCUGUUCUGACGGUACCCAAAGAAUAAGCACCGGCUAACUUCGUG